GCCGGUGUUUUAUUUAUAUGUGCCCCACCUGUUUCCAUUCCGAACACAGAAGUGAAAGCAUAUAAACCCGAUGAUACUUGGUUCAUUCCUGGGAAAGUAGGGUAUGCCGGUA
This 112-nucleotide ribosomal RNA is filed under the name Candidatus Harrisonbacteria bacterium CG10_big_fil_rev_8_21_14_0_10_42_17. Lineage: Bacteria; Candidatus Harrisoniibacteriota. The record is from RNAcentral.